GUCACACAGAGUUGAACACGACUGAUGUGACUUAGCAGCAGCAGCAGUGACUAUGUAACAUCCACCUGAAGACUAGCAGGGGGUACUCUUUCUGCCACCUUCUGAUGCCUAUGUCAGAAGCUUUCUCUAUCUCCUUUAUACUUUAAUAAAACUUUAUUAC
Cervus elaphus (red deer) is the source of this 160-nucleotide long non-coding RNA. RefSeq lists it as uncharacterized. The record is from RefSeq and is a predicted model, not a curated record. The transcript has 3 exons. Lineage: Eukaryota; Metazoa; Chordata; Mammalia; Artiodactyla; Cervidae.